GAAGUCGGAAUUGCUAGUAAUCGCGGAUCAGCAUGCCGCGGUGAAUACGUUCCCGGGCCUUGUACACACCGCCCGUCACACCAUGGGAGUCGGUAACACCCGAAGCCUGUAGUCUAACCGCAAGGGGGACGCAGUCGAAGGUGGGAUUGAUGACUGGGGUGAAGUCGUAACAAGGUACC
This 179-nucleotide ribosomal RNA is filed under the name uncultured bacterium. RNAcentral describes it as "partial 16S ribosomal RNA". It matches the Rfam family "Bacterial small subunit ribosomal RNA", at positions 1322 to 1500 of the family's 1533-position model. The record is from RNAcentral.